AGAGUUUGAUCCUGGCUCAGGAUGAACGCUAGCGACAGGCCUAACACAUGCAAGUCGAGGGGCAGCACAGAGGUAGCUUGCUACUUUGGGUGGCGACCGGCGCACGGGUGCGUAACAGGUGUGCAAUCUGUCCAUAAUCGGGGAAUAGCCCAGCGAAAGUUGGAUUAAUGCUCCAUGUGAGCAGAGGAGGCAUCUCCUUUGUUUGAAACGCAAGGAUUAUGGGUGAGCACGCUUCUGAUUAGGUAGUUGGUGAGGUAACGGCUCACCAAGCCGACGAUCAGUAGGGGUUCUGAGAGGAAGGUCCCCCACAUUGGAACUGAGACACGGUCCAAACUCCUACGGGAGGCAGCAGUGAGGAAUAUUGGUCAAUGGACGGAAGUCUGAACCAGCCAAGUCGCGUGAAGGAUGAAGGUUCUAUGGAUUGUAAACUUCUUUUAUACGAGGGUAAAACAGCGGACGUGUCCGCUCUUGCAAGUAUCGUAUGAAUAAGCAUCGGCUAACUCCGUGCCAGCAGCCGCGGUAAUACGGAGGAUGCGAGCGUUAUCCGGAUUUAUUGGGUUUAAAGGGUGCGUAGGCGGAUUAUUAAGUCAGUGGUAAAAGCGUGUGGCUCAACCAUACCAAGCCAUUGAAACUGGUAGUCUUGAGUGCAAACGAGGUAGGCGGAAUGUGACGUGUAGCGGUGAAAUGCUUAGAUAUGUCACAGAACCCCGAUUGCGAAGGCAGCUUACCAGCAUGCAACUGACGCUGAGGCACGAAAGCGUGGGUAUCAAACAGGAUUAGAUACCCUGGUAGUCCACGCAGUAAACGAUGAAU
RNAcentral lists this ribosomal RNA (813 nucleotides) under uncultured bacterium. Its description in RNAcentral is "bacterial SSU rRNA". It matches the Rfam family "Bacterial small subunit ribosomal RNA", at positions 8 to 814 of the family's 1533-position model. The record is from RNAcentral.